This 492-nucleotide ribosomal RNA is filed under the name uncultured bacterium. Its description in RNAcentral is "partial 16S ribosomal RNA". It matches the Rfam family "Bacterial small subunit ribosomal RNA", at positions 28 to 507 of the family's 1533-position model. The record is from RNAcentral.
GAUGAACGCUAGCUACAGGCUUAACACAUGCAAGUCGAGGGGAAACGACAUCGAAAGCUUGCUUUUGAUGGGCGUCGACCGGCGCACGGGUGAGUAACGCGUAUCCAACCUGCCCAUCACUUGGGAAUAACCUUGCGAAAGUAAGACUAAUACCCAAUGACAUCCCACGAAGACAUCUGAAUGGGAUUAAAGAUUUAUCGGUGAUGGAUGGGGAUGCGUCUGAUUAGCUUGUUGGCGGGGUAACGGCCCACCAAGGCAACGAUCAGUAGGGGUUCUGAGAGGAAGGUCCCCCACAUUGGAACUGAGACACGGUCCAAACUCCUACGGGAGGCAGCAGUGAGGAAUAUUGAUCAAUGGGCGAGAGCCUGAACCAGCCAAGUAGCGUGCAGGAGGACGGCCCUAUGGGUUGUAAACUGCUUUUAUAAGGGAAUAAAGUGGGUCUCGUGAGACUUUUUGCAUGUACCUUAUGAAUAAGGACCGGCUAAUUCCGUG